Molecule: ribosomal RNA, 445 nt
Filed under: uncultured bacterium
Lineage: Bacteria
Description: partial 16S ribosomal RNA
Rfam family: Bacterial small subunit ribosomal RNA
Source: RNAcentral
GUAGGGAAUAUUGGGCAAUGGAUGCAAGUCUGACCCAGCCAUCCCGCGUGCCGGAAGAAGGCCCUCAGGGUUGUAAACGGCUUUUGACGGUGAAGAACUGACAGGAUGCGUCCUGUUUUGACGGUAGCCGUUGAAUAAGCACCGGCUAACUCCGUGCCAGCAGCCGCGGUAAUACGGAGGGUGCGAGCGUUGUCCGGAUUUAUUGGGUUUAAAGGGUGCGUAGGCUGGAAGGUCAGUCAGCGGUGAAAAGCUAUCGCUUAACGAUAGUCUUGCCGCAGAUACUUCCUUUCUUGGAUGAGGAGGAGGCCACUGGAACGGAUGGUGUAGCGGUGAAAUGCAUAGAUAUCAUCCAGAACACCGAUUGCGAAGGCAGGUGGCUGUACCUUAAUCGACGCUGAUGCACGAAAGCAUGGGGAGCAAACAGGAUUAGAUACCCUUGUAGUCC